RNAcentral lists this ribosomal RNA (253 nucleotides) under uncultured bacterium. RNAcentral's name for it is "partial 16S ribosomal RNA". It matches the Rfam family "Bacterial small subunit ribosomal RNA", at positions 524 to 776 of the family's 1533-position model. The record is from RNAcentral.
UACGUAAGGGGCGAGCGUUAUCCGGAUUUAUUGGGCAUAAAGCGCACGUAGGCGGCUUUUUAAGUCAGAUGUUAAAUCCUUCAGCUCAACUGAAGCGCUGCAUUUGAUACUGAAAAGCUAGAGUACAGGAGAGGAAAGCGGAACUCACGGUGUAGCGGUGAAAUGCGUAGAUAUCGUGAGGAACACCAGUUGCGAAGGCGGCUUUCUGGACUGUUACUGACGCUCAGGUGCGAAAGCGUGGGGAGCAAACGGG